GAUCAGCUCAGGAUGAACGCUAGCGGCAGGCUUAACACAUGCAAGUCGAGGGACAGCGGGGUGUAGCAAUACACUGCCGGCGACCGGCGCACGGGUGCGUAACGCGUAUGCAACCUACCCAUAACAGGGGCAUAACACUGAGAAAUUGGUACUAAUUCCCCAUAACAUUCGAAGAGGCAUCUCUUUGGGUUGAAAACUCCGGUGGUUAUGGAUGGGCAUGCGUUGUAUUAGCUAGUUGG
RNAcentral lists this ribosomal RNA (239 nucleotides) under uncultured bacterium. Its description in RNAcentral is "partial 16S ribosomal RNA". It matches the Rfam family "Bacterial small subunit ribosomal RNA", at positions 15 to 252 of the family's 1533-position model. The record is from RNAcentral.